UGAGUGGUACUAGAUAGUGCUGAACUGUUUUCAAUGUAUUAGGUUUAUCCAACUCAUUGACCAGUAAAGUAUUUGUUUAUUACACAGGCUCGGCCUUACAACAACAAACAAAGUUUGACCUCAAAUCAGGUAGGACUACCCGCUGAACUUAAGCAUAUCAAUAAGCGGAGGAAAAGAAACCAACAGGGAUUGCCUUAGUAACGGCGAGUGAAGCGGCAAAAGCUCAAAUUUGAAAUCUAGCACUUUCAGUGUUCGAGUUGUAAUUUGAAGAAGGUAACUUUGGAAUUGGCUCUUGUCUAUGUUCCUUGGAACAGGACGUCACAGAGGGUGAGAAUCCCGUGCGAUGAGAUGUCCAAUUCUAUGUAAAGUGCUUUCGAAGAGUCGAGUUGUUUGGGAAUGCAGCUCUAAGUGGGUGGUAAAUUCCAUCUAAAGCUAAAUAUUGGCGAGAGACCGAUAGCGAACAAGUACAGUGAUGGAAAGAUGAAAAGAACUUUGAAAAGAGAGUGAAAAAGUACGUGAAAUUGUUGAAAGGGAAGGGCUUGAGAUCAGACUUGGUAUUUUGUGUUCCUUAUCCUUCUUGGAUUAGGUUCCUCACAGCUUACCGGGCCAGCAUCGGUUUGGAUGGCAGGAUAAUGACAUUGGAAUGUAGCUUUGCUUCGGUGAAGUGUUG
RNAcentral lists this ribosomal RNA (670 nucleotides) under Dujonia railenensis. RNAcentral's name for it is "eukaryotic LSU rRNA". The stretch from base 116 to 670 matches the Rfam family "Eukaryotic large subunit ribosomal RNA", at positions 1 to 559 of the family's 3401-position model. Lineage: Eukaryota; Fungi; Ascomycota; Pichiomycetes; Serinales; Debaryomycetaceae. The record is from RNAcentral.